This 913-nucleotide ribosomal RNA is filed under the name uncultured archaeon. Its description in RNAcentral is "bacterial SSU rRNA". It matches the Rfam family "Archaeal small subunit ribosomal RNA", at positions 1 to 920 of the family's 1478-position model. The record is from RNAcentral.
UUCCGGUUGAUCCUGCCGGAGGUCACUGCUAUUGGGAUUCGACUAAGCCAUGCGAGUCGAGAGGGUUCGGCCCUCGGCUGACGGCUCAGUAACACGUGGAUAAUCUGCCCUUAGGUGGAGGAUAAUCUCGGGAAACUGAGGAUAAUACUCCAUAGAUCUAGGAUGCUGGAAUGCAUCUAGAUUGAAAGCUCCGGCGCCUAAGGAUGAGUCUGCGGACUAUCAGGUUGUAGUCAGGGUAAAGACCUGACUAGCCUACGACGGAUACGGGUUGUGAGAGCAAUAACCCGGAGACGAUAUCUGAGACACGAUAUCGGGCCCUACGGGGCGCAGCAGGCGCGAAAACUUCACACUGUGCGAAAGCGCGAUGAGGGAAUCCCAAGUGUUUGCUCGUAAGAGUAAACUGUUUCUUUGUUUAAAACGCAGAGAGAGUAAGGGCUGGGUAAGACGGGUGCCAGCCGCCGCGGUAAUACCUGCAGCUCAAGUGGUGAUCAUUAUUAUUGGGCCUAAAACGUCCGUAGCCGGUUUAGUAAAUGCCUGGGUAAAUCGUGUAGCUUAACUAUACGACUUCCGGGUAGACUGCUAAACUUGAGACCGGGAGAGGCUAGAGGUACUCCUGGGGUAGAGGUGAAAUUCUGUAAUCCUAGGGGGACCACCAGUGGCGAAAGCGUCUAGCUAGAACGGGUCUGACGGUGAGGGACGAAGCCCUGGGGCACAAACCGGAUUAGAUACCCGGGUAGUCCAGGGUGUAAACGCUGCUUGCUUGAUGUUAGUUGGGCUCCGAGCCCAACUAGUGUCGGAGAGAAGUUGUUAAGCAAGCUGCCUGGGAAGUACGGUCGCAAGGCUGAAACUUAAAGGAAUUGGCGGGGGAGCACAGCAACGGGUGGAGCGUGCGCUUUAAUUGGAUUCAACGCCG